UACGUAGGGUGCAAGCGUUGUCCGGAAUUAUUGGGCGUAAAGAGCUCGUAGGCGGUCUGUCGCGUCUGGUGUGAAAACUCAAGGCUUAACCUUGGGCCUGCAUCGGGUACGGACAGACUAGAGUGCGGUAGGGGAGACUGGAAUUCCUGGUGUAGCGGUGAAAUUCGUAGAUAUCGGGAGGAACACCAGUGGCGAAGGCGGCGCCCUGGGCCAAUACUGACGCUGAGGUGCGAAAGCGUGGGGAGCAAACAGG
This 253-nucleotide ribosomal RNA is filed under the name uncultured bacterium. Its description in RNAcentral is "partial 16S ribosomal RNA". It matches the Rfam family "Bacterial small subunit ribosomal RNA", at positions 524 to 776 of the family's 1533-position model. The record is from RNAcentral.